This 114-nucleotide transfer RNA is filed under the name Paracoccus solventivorans. RNAcentral's name for it is "tRNA_Ala_GGC". It matches the Rfam family "tRNA". Rfam says of the family: Transfer RNA (tRNA) molecules are approximately 80 nucleotides in length. Their secondary structure includes four short double-helical elements and three loops (D, anti-codon, and T loops). The record is from RNAcentral. RNAcentral also lists the same sequence under 1 other name. Lineage: Bacteria; Pseudomonadati; Pseudomonadota; Alphaproteobacteria; Rhodobacterales; Paracoccaceae.
CGAGGCGUGGCAGAGAGGUUUAUCGCGGGCGGCGGCUUCGAAAGAGGCCCGCUCCGGGCUUUGAGGCCUUCAGGACUCUCACGGCGCGCGCAGGUUCGAAUCCUGUCGCCUCGU